GGAUAUGAGAGAAAUCUGACUGUGGCAUCUGUCGCCCCAUUGAUCUCCAUGGUUGAUUCAGCUGAUCUGGCUUGCUAGGAUGGAGUCCCUUCCCCUCCCUCACAAGUCCAUGCACAUCCCUCCUGAAGCUGCAUGCUCAGUCAAAGGGAACAAUCUUCCACAAUACAGGAGGACUAUUCUGUCAAAGGUAUACGAGGCCUUUUUGGAUGUUGGGUUUUCAGAAUAAGUAGGCAAAAAUCAUCAUUCUGACAAAUUAU
RNAcentral lists this small RNA (257 nucleotides) under Castor canadensis (American beaver). RNAcentral describes it as "7SK RNA (ENSCCNG00000004250.1)". The stretch from base 1 to 197 matches the Rfam family "7SK RNA". Rfam says of the family: 7SK was discovered as an abundant small nuclear RNA in the mid-70s but a possible function has only recently been suggested. Two independent studies have found that 7SK RNA binds the CDK9/cyclin T complex (known as elongation factor P-TEFb). Lineage: Eukaryota; Metazoa; Chordata; Mammalia; Rodentia; Castoridae. The record is from RNAcentral.